RNAcentral lists this long non-coding RNA (240 nucleotides) under Elaeis guineensis (African oil palm). RNAcentral's name for it is "long non-coding RNA (EGUI_LNC028929)". Lineage: Eukaryota; Viridiplantae; Streptophyta; Magnoliopsida; Arecales; Arecaceae. The record is from RNAcentral.
UCAUAACUAAAUUUAUGUAGAAAUAUAAAGAAUACAUCUAGCUGAAUGAAAAUACAAACCCCAUUAAAAUUAAAACUAAUCAUGCAAAAAUUUAUAACCAACAUUCCAAAUCAAAGGUUGCAUAGAAACUUGAGAAUGAUGGCAUUUGAUACAUACCGCACACAUUUUGUUCCCCUACACUAAAUUCUUUGAGGAAGAUAGCAUACCAACCCAAUUAAUAUGGCUAAUGAACCUUCUAGU